This 524-nucleotide long non-coding RNA is filed under the name Meriones unguiculatus (Mongolian gerbil). Its description in RNAcentral is "lncRNA (ENSMUGG00000003957.1)". Lineage: Eukaryota; Metazoa; Chordata; Mammalia; Rodentia; Muridae. The record is from RNAcentral.
ACCAAGGGAGGAAGACAGCCGAUGUUGACCUCUGACAUUUACAAGCGGAUGCCAGGCAAGUGCGCCAGCACGUGCAUGUGCAGCGCCCCACACAGAUAACAGGUAAACGAAGGAGUAGAUAAAGUACAGGGCUCUCACAAGUAUGGAGUCCUGACGGCAUAGCCUUAUCUCGCAUGGCAAAGGUAUGUAUAAAUUAUAAUCCUUUUCCGUCUAGAUCAUUGAUUCUAAUUCUCUUAUUUUGCGGAUGAGGGAAUUGAAGUUCAAAGAAAAGCAAAACUACAAAUUUUGGCAGAGUGAAGAUCUCAGCCGAGACCUGCUUUGUUCCUGGCAUUCCCCAAGUGUGUUAUGGAUGAUGAAAAUAGAUGUUCUUUGUUUCUAUCAACAAGCAAGUUUUCAAACAUCGGGAAUUUGAUCACCUGCCAUUCAUAUUGACGUGGGUCUCACUAGGAAAGAGAAGCCUUUCAGACUGGAUAGCAUGAGGAGGGUCUAAUAAAGAGACAAACUUUAUUUAAGGGUAAAAAUAC